RNAcentral lists this ribosomal RNA (449 nucleotides) under uncultured bacterium. Its description in RNAcentral is "partial 16S ribosomal RNA". It matches the Rfam family "Bacterial small subunit ribosomal RNA", at positions 354 to 796 of the family's 1533-position model. The record is from RNAcentral.
GUCGAGAAUCUUUCACAAUGGGGGCAACCCUGAUGGAGCGACGCCGCGUGGAGGAUAAGGUCUUCGGAUUGUAAACUCCUGUCAUGCGUGAACAAGGUUGCUUGGUUAAUACCUGGGCAAAUUGAUGGUAACGCAAGAGGAAGAGACGGCUAACUCUGUGCCAGCAGCCGCGGUAAUACAGAGGUCUCAAGCGUUGUUCGGAAUCACUGGGCGUAAAGGGUGCGUAGGUGGCGUGGUAAGUCAGAUGUGAAAGCCCGGGGCUCAACAUCGGAACUGCAUCCGAUACUGCCAUGCUAGAGUACUGGAGAGGUGACUAGAAUUCUCGGUGUAGCAGUGAAAUGCGUAGAUAUCGAGAGGAAUACCAAAGGCGUAGGCAGGUCACUGGACAGUUACUGACACUGAGGCACGAAGGCCAGGGGAGCGAACGGGAUUAGAUACCCUUGUAGUCC